This 2347-nucleotide long non-coding RNA is filed under the name Homo sapiens (human). Its description in RNAcentral is "HSALNT0277942". Lineage: Eukaryota; Metazoa; Chordata; Mammalia; Primates; Hominidae. The record is from RNAcentral.
GUGGGCACAAAUUAAUUUGUCUGGGGUCCAUAAAGGAGAAGGUCGACCAGGUGCCAUGGCUCAUGCCUUUAAUCCCAGCACUUUAGGAGGCAGAGGUGGGCGUCAGGAAUUCGAGACCAGCCUCGCCUGGAAUGUACAUGGUGAUGUAGCAGGAACGGUUGCAGACAAAACCUCUCAGACACCAGUUUUAGGAAGGAAGAGGCUUUAAUCAGCUGGGAGCGUUGACAGACUUGCAUCUGAAGAUUGGAGCUCCCUGAAGAAGUCCCUGGCCCUUUUAAGGGCUUACAAUUCUAAGGGGUCCACGUGAAAGGGUCGUGAUAGAUUGUGCAAGCGUGGGCUACGUGACUGGGGGGCUACAUGCAUCAGUGGUGGGGGCUAGCAGAACAGACCAGAAAGUUUCACAAUGCUUCCUCAUACAAUGUCUGGAAUCUUUAGAUAAAACAAGCGGUCAGGUCAGGAGUUGAUCUUUAACUACCAGGCCCAGGUAGCAGCGCCAAACAGUCUGGCCAUUGAUCUUACUUCUGCAUCUUUCUAACUUUUUGCUUCCUUCUGAAAUAGGAGACAAUGAGAGAGGUGGUCUCCUUCCUCAGUGAAACCCCAUCUCUACUAAAAAAUAGAAAAAUUAGCAGAGAUUGGUUCUGGGCAUCUGUAAUCCCAGCUACUCAGGAGGCUGAGGUGGGAGAAUUGCUUGAACCCAGCAGGCAGAGGUUGCAGUGAGCAGUGAUUCUGCUAUUUAGCACUCCAGCCUGGGCAACAGAGUGAAACUCCAUCUCAAAAAAAAAAAAAAGUUGUGUAUGGUGGCUUAUAUCUGUAAUCCCAGCACUUUGGGAGGCUGAGGAGAGUGGAUCGCCUGAGCUCAUGAGUUCAAGACCAGCCUGAGCAACAUGGAGAAACCCCGUCUCUACUAAAACUACAAAAUUAGCCAGGCGUGGUGGCACACGCCUGUAGUCCCAGCUACUCAGGAGGCUGAGGCACGAGAAUCGCUUGAACUCGGAAGGCAGAGGUUGCAGUGAGCUGAGAUUGUGCCAUUGCACUCCAGCCUAGAAAACAAGAGCAAAACUGUCUGAAAAAAAAAAAAAAGAUAUUUGGAAGCAGAGAGACCCCAGAGGUACAGUACAGGUUCAUAGAGGAAAGGCCACAGAGGACACAGCCAGAAGGGAUCCCUGCCAUCCAGGAGGAGCGGCCUCAGAGCAAACAACCCCGCCGACCCCUCCACCUUGGACUUGUAGCCUCCAUAUCUGUGAGAAAAUAAAUGCCUGCCUGUGGCCCGCAUUAUUCAUGUGGGCACCUGGCCCAGGGCAUCUUCUGUGGAGGCCACAGCAUGAAGGGAUCAUUUUUAUAGAGAAUCUCAUUCUCUAAUAACUUAUAUCUGCCUAGAAAAUGUCAAGUCAAAUUUAAAGUGUGGAGAAGGGCCUCUAAAUUUCACAUUUCAUUUGCAAAGAAAGAAUUGUAAUUUGGGACAUACACGCAGUCCGGGUGGUGUUCACCAUGUUGGGAGAACAGAGACAGCAACAGGUCCUAUUAAAAGGAGAAAUGGGCUAGGCGCUGUGGCUCACACCAGCAAUCCCAGCAAUUUGGGAGGCCAAGGAGGUUGGAUCACUUGAGGUCAGGAGUUUAAGACCAGCCUAAGCCUGGCCAGGUGGCUCACGCCUGUAAUCCCAGCACUUUGGGAGGCCGAGACGGGUGGAUCACGAGGUCAGGAGUUCAAGACCAGCCUGGUCAAGAUGUUGAAACCCCGUCUCUACUAAAAACACAAAAAUUAGCUAGGCGUGGUGGCACGCGCAUGUAAUCCCAGCUACUUGGGAGGCUUAGGUAGGAAAAUAGCUUGAACUCAGGCGGCAGAGGCUGCAGUGAACCCAGAUUGCACCACUGCACCCCAGCCUGGGCAACAGAGCAAGACUCCAUCUCAAAAAAUAAAAUAAAAAUAAGACCAGCCUGGGAAACAUGAUGAAACCCGUUUUUAUGAAAAAUACAAAAAUUAGCCUGGUUUGGUGGUGGACGCCUGUAAUCCCAGCUACUCGGGAGGCUGAGACAGGAGAAUCACUUGAACAAGGGAGGCAGAGGUUGCAGUGAGCCGAGACCGCACCAUUGCACUCCAGCCUGGGUGACAGGGCGAGACUCCAUUUCAAAGAAAAAAAAAAAGAAAAGGAGAAAUGUUCUCUUGUCCUAUGGGAAAGCCCAUGGGCACUAGGAAGGGUUGGGAACUGGGAGGUUCCAUUGCUGAAUAGCUGCGAUUAUAGCAAGGAGUCCAAGACUUACAGCCAUUUAUUGCAGAAGCUAUGGAUAAAGCUGGUUUCAGGGUACAAUGCACAGUUUCAGGAGUCAGGCUUGCAGAGAAGUCCAUUUU